AAGGAUUUAGUUUAUCGAACCUUUCUUUUACAAAGAAAAAGUCUUUCCUUU
This 51-nucleotide transfer RNA is filed under the name Xiphinema americanum. Its description in RNAcentral is "tRNA-Val". Lineage: Eukaryota; Metazoa; Nematoda; Enoplea; Dorylaimida; Longidoridae. The record is from RNAcentral.